Molecule: ribosomal RNA, 702 nt
Filed under: uncultured Lachnospiraceae bacterium
Lineage: Bacteria; Bacillati; Bacillota; Clostridia; Lachnospirales; Lachnospiraceae
Description: bacterial SSU rRNA
Rfam family: Bacterial small subunit ribosomal RNA
Source: RNAcentral
UUACUUUGAUUCUUUCGGGAUGAAAAGUUUUGUGACUGAGCGGCGGACGGGUGAGUAACGCGUGGGUAACCUGCCUCAUACAGGGGGAUAACAGUUAGAAAUGACUGCUAAUACCGCAUAAGACCACAGCACCGCAUGGUGCAGGGGUAAAAACUGAGGUGGUAUGAGAUGGACCCGCGUCUGAUUAGGUAGUUGGUGAGGUAACGGCUCACCAAGCCGACGAUCAGUAGCCGACCUGAGAGGGUGACCGGCCACAUUGGGACUGAGACACGGCCCAAACUCCUACGGGAGGCAGCAGUGGGGAAUAUUGCACAAUGGGGGAAACCCUGAUGCAGCGACGCCGCGUGAGCGAAGAAGUAUUUCGGUAUGUAAAGCUCUAUCAGCAGGGAAGAAACUGACGGUACCUGACUAAGAAGCACCGGCUAAAUACGUGCCAGCAGCCGCGGUAAUACGUAUGGUGCAAGCGUUAUCCGGAUUUACUGGGUGUAAAGGGAGCGUAGACGGAGUGGCAAGUCUGGAGUGAAAACCCAGGGCUCAACCCUGGGACUGCUUUGGAAACUGUCAAUCUAGAGUGCUGGAGAGGUAAGUGGAAUUCCUAGUGUAGCGGUGAAAUGCGUAGAUAUUAGGAGGAACACCAGUGGCGAAGGCGGCUUACUGGACAGUGACUGACGUUGAGGCUCGAAAGCGUGGGGAGCAAACAGG